UGGGGAAUAUUGCACAAUGGGCGCAAGCCUGAUGCAGCCAUGCCGCGUGUGUGAUGAAGGGUUUCGGCUCGUAAACACUGUUGUAAGAGAAGAAUGACAUUGAGAGUAACUGUUCAAUGUGUGACGGUAUCUUACCAGAAAGGAACGGCUAAAUACGUGCCAG
Molecule: ribosomal RNA, 163 nt
Filed under: uncultured bacterium
Lineage: Bacteria
Description: partial 16S ribosomal RNA
Rfam family: Bacterial small subunit ribosomal RNA
Source: RNAcentral